UAAGUGUGCUAUGAACCAUGAUAACAAAAGCAUUAUUCCAGUUUUUGCAUGGGAAAUAACAAAAAUGCUAGAUUCCCCUUAUACCAAAAGACAGACACUUCGUUUCUUGAAAAUACUCCAUAAGUAAUGGCUACAAACAGACUGACGCAUGCGUAGUUGAAAAUACACAUGAACGUAAUGCCAAUAGCGGAAAACACAACUCGAGUCUGUAGUUCCAUUUAACUUAGUAGUAUAAAGUAAGCGAAAAGCAGUGGAGAGUGGCUUUGGAAACAUUCAGUAAAGAAGAGCCUCUUGCAACGCAAAAUAAACUGAUUGGGUAGUCUUGCUGAUUCUUAGAUUCAGAGGACAGUAUUUGUAUGACGAGAAUGGCAAUUCGUAUUUGGACUGUAUCAGCAACGUUCAGCACGUUCAGAGGCCAAUGAUCUAGCAUUAACACUUGGAACCCAACAUGAAGACAUUGUGUUUGACCAUUCUGGAAACUGACAGAACAGAAAGAGUGGCUUUACAUGGUGUGCAAGAGGAUACAUAUUGCAUGCCUCUAUUCUUUGUUCGGCAGACACCCAGCGUCAGUGGACGUGAUUGAGGACCUGAGUGGGAACUCCUCAAGUUGGCGGACACCUAUUGGACCUGCUGACGCAGCUACAGACCUAACAUCCAAUCAUUGGAGACAUCCGGCACGAGAAUUAUGGCCGGAAUUGUGUUUAGAUAAUGACUGUUUUCCUUGGCCCAGGCACUGCUGACGCAUGCCAGAUCUUACUACACCCGGAUAGGUAUUUUAUAUAUCAGUUUACCACAUUAUAGCAAUCUGGUGUUCAAAGGCAGUCGAAGACUUUGCACGCAACCAUUAGUCAUCUGAGCAGGGGAACGCACCCAUGGUCUCUAUAGUAACCAUUGACUACCUACAUAAGACCAUGCAGCCAACCUUGCAUUCUGAGAUACUGGCUGAAUAGUGGUUGUGUGGGCAUGGAGAUAGUCACAGAGCUAAUGGGCUGAUUGUGGGCUUAAGCCUUUUCAAAUAAAUCUCAACAUUACCUUUAAAUAAGUGCAAGCAGAAAUAUCCUUUCCUGUUCAACUGAAAGAGCAUAUCUGGGUCAGCACAGAAAGCCCCUGGGAGAACAGUCAAGUUUAAGCCUCCCAUGUGCUUCAGUGUGGAGAACGCAGAGCUGGUGGCACACCCCAUUCUCAUUGGCGAUUGGAACACAAACCCUGCAGCCUUGAAAUGAAGCAUAUUACAGGGACACUCACAUCAGUUUAUUACUCACAGGUGAUCGGAAUGUCCCACAGCUAAUCUUGGUCCCCCUAACCUACUGCAGUGUUCUCAGAACUGAAGGAAACUGAUACCUUUAUCUGCCAACACAAUAGAUGGGAAUAGGGGUUGGACCAGGCCAAUGACACUUACUCAACACCAGCAAAGCAGGUACAGUAGAACCUGUUGACAAAUAUCCCCCCCCCCGGACAUCAAAAACUGGACAAUGGAGACAGCUAAGGUUUGUACAACCCUGUAGAAAUAUUUAAUUGCAUCAGACAGUAAGAUUUGGUCACAGUCAGGUAGCGGUGUGGAUAGUAUCAAGUACUCUAGUAGAUGAACUGUUAAAGUGCAUUUCAGACAUUUGGAAUUCGUAAAGGUCCUUGCUAUUCAGCAUCUGUGGGACAUCCCAUGGAUCCCAGAUAAUAACCAUUUCAUAAAGCAGAGCACCAGACCUGGAGCCAUCUUGGAGGAUGACAGACUGCAGACAUAAAAGAAAGCCCAUCUCAUGGAUCCAUACCACAAUUAAGGCUACAAAGCUAAAUGAUUUCACCUCUAGAGCUAACACGUGGAAUUACUGCACGCUUUUGGUUCUGCAUGAAGGACAGAAACAGAGCAAUGCAUUUCUCUAUUAAAACACCAUGCACUUUUGCUAUGAAAUGAAAGCAUUUAAAAUACCUUCUGACGCUCACAUUUAUACUUCUGUGAAAAUAACCUAUGCCCCCACCACAUGGUAACUACAGAAUAACGAAGUACUAAGAACUCAAUGAAGUACUACUGAUACAGUAGGAAAGAGAUCAUGGACAUCAACUUGGAAUGGACACUGGCCCAGGCAGACUGAAGAGAAGACACUUCCAGCUGAUCUUGAUAAUCGCAACAUUGCAUGGCAACAGUGACUUUAUACACAAGUAUCAAAGGACUAUUAAUGACAAGCAUAAGUGGGGUAGGAGUGCACUUACCAGAGGACUACUGUUAUCACCUUAUCCACCUAGAACCAUAGCAAAUACUGUAGUUACACUUCAGAUCCAUAGCGGGGUAAGAUCCGCUAGCUCCAAAAGUAAAUCGACACGUACGUAGAACGGCUUUCACCCCAUUGACCGAUUCCCUCUGCCAGCGAAGUAUCUGCCACCGCAUCCCAAAGAGGCAUCCGUACAGAGCGAUUUUAACCUUAACCAAGACAAGCCAUUUAACAGUACAAAUCAGUUAACAUUAGGUUUAUGAAUAAUAACAAAAGGAUCCACGUGUAAUAUAAACCAAAAGUUUAUUUCUACCAAUUUGCCCAAGACACUAGAGGAAUGAGUUUCCAGUGAGAGAGGGAAGGCCCUCUUACAUUAACAGGCUUACGCUCGGUUGGAUUGUAUUGUUUGUAACACUAGUAGCCACUUUAAAAAUGCAGACAAUAUGGGAGGGGGGAAAGACUCCUUAAAAGCCAAAAAAACAAAUGCUGGUUGUCAUCGUCUACUAGCCAACUGCAAACAUUCACUAGACAAGCUUACAAUGAAACCUUUGAUUAGUUUAAUCCAGUCGCCUCACCCCACAUCUGAAGCCAUGCAACUCGCAUCAAACACUCAGCAUGACAAAAAAAAAAAAUUACAAAUCUAGAAACACCAACAAAAGUUUAUUUGAAAAGCUUACGAAAGCUCUGCUCCUGUUUGUUGGUAAGUCCAGCAGACAUGUAAAAUACGACCAUACAAUACAUUAUUCAAAAAGGUACCAAAAAGUACAGUAAAAAUAACACUUCCAUCUCUGGAAAUGGACACAAAACAAUAUCAAAUAAAAAGUGGAAGUGGCAUUUGCUUCCCCAGUUCCUCACUUCAUCUGUACAUAUGCGGCAUGAGGCCAAAUUUCUGCCAACUCCAAAGGAAAAGCCAGAGCCCAUGUUCGCUGUGGCCGGACCAUGGGUUUCUUUUUUCUUAUUUACUUUAGACCUUAAGAGAGAAACAUGGUGCUUACAGUUACUGAGCAUAUCCAAAUGGCAUUUAGUAUUACACACAUGGACACCAUGAUGUUUAUGAACUAGUAUUUUUUUUAAACAUUACAAUCACAUUGCUCCAGAGGGGGAGCACAUCAAAGGGGACAUGACACCUAGCUGCCAUACCCAGCACCCCAUCAGAAAGGCCCUAAUGCUUAUGCUGGGGCAACCACCACCUCAACCCUUAUUGAUCAAGUAGUGUUUGUAGGGAUGCAUCUUAAAAUGGUUGGCACAUGGAAUGAGUCCAUUAUUAAAGAUUUCCAGACCGUCACCACCCCCCCUCAUUAACAAACGUUUGAAUGGGAUCAGACUAGAUGGGAGAAAUUUUGUAGUCAAAGGCACAAAUGGUUACAGUUAGAUUGUCAUAUCACCAUAGAUGAUGCAAAAAUGCAUACCUGCACUACAUGUGAUCAGUAUGGCUUGUAGCUACUCUGGUGGCCUCCACGUCUUGGAGUUUUCCCAUAGCCUGCAUUGCCCUGGUCUGGAGGACAAGAAAGAAAAAGACUGAGUGUCUUCCGUACGACAAGGACCAACAAAGUUUCUCACAUUUGUGUUUCGGGUGGUUAUCGCUUACUGUAGUCGUAGCCACCCCCAUAGCCGUAUCCAGCGGAGUAGUCGUAGUUGCCAUAGCCUCCGUAUCCACCAUAGCCUUGCUGUCCACCGUAGCCGUAGCCCUGGUUACCGUAGCCUUGGUUCCAGUAGUUGUUGUAACCACCACCACCACCUUGGUUCCAGUUCUGGCCCUGACCUGAGAAGAACAAAUCAAUACAGCGACUAGAUGCAGUCAUACCCAAACUUCUUAGGACUGUGAAGUACAGUUUGCCCAGGUUAAAUCAGCACCAGAUGUUUGGUGUUAAUACUCACCUCCACGACCCCUGCCCCGUCCCCCACCACCACGGCCACCAUACUGCUGCUGCUGGUACACCUCUUUGGGCUGGGCUAUUUUAAUCUCACACUGGAACAGAUCGUAACACAAAAACUUAAGUCAGCCACAGAAAAAAACCUUUGCAAAACUCACUGCAUGGAUUUUCAAUGUGAGGGAUACAUGUUCCCCGAGGAAACCACUAGAAAAAUUAAAUUUACAUGAAUCAAAGGCUCCAUUUGAAAGUGGGUGGGCAACAUUGUACGUCCUUAAUGUGUACAAAAAGGGACAGUGCACACGGCUUUGCAGUACAUUUGACUGAGAUCCAUUCUCACCUUGCUUCCACUGACGUUAUGGAAUUUCUUUUCUAGCACUUUUUUGACAGGAGUUUCAUCCUUAUACGUGAUGAACACGAAGCCCCUUCUCUUUUCUGUUUUUGGAUCCUGUGGAAGCUCAAUCGUCUCAAUCUGCAUGUGAAGGGAAGAUUAAACAAUUACUGUUAACACAGCACCAAAACCACCAAGUCAGUACUACCACACAACCAAAAUGUGGAUACUAUACCUCUCCAAAAGUUCCGAAGUACUCCUGGAUAACUUCCUUUUCUGUAUCUGGGUUGAGGCCACCUACAAAGAUUUUCUUUACAGGCUCC
Long non-coding RNA from Oncorhynchus tshawytscha (Chinook salmon), 4729 nucleotides. RefSeq lists it as uncharacterized. The record is from RefSeq and is a predicted model, not a curated record. The transcript is spliced from 5 exons. NCBI's taxonomy places the organism in Eukaryota, Metazoa, Chordata, Actinopteri, Salmoniformes, Salmonidae.